AAUCUGCCUGGUAGUGGGGGAUAACGUCCGGAAACGGACGCUAAUACCGCAUACGUCCUACGGGAGAAAGCAGGGGACCUUCGGGCCUUGCGCUAUCAGAUGAGCCUAGGUCGGAUUAGCUAGUUGGUGGGGUAAUGGCUCACCAAGGCGACGAUCCGUAACUGGUCUGAGAGGAUGAUCAGUCACACUGGAACUGAGACACGGUCCAGACUCCUACGGGAGGCAGCAGUGGGGAAUAUUGGACAAUGGGCGAAAGCCUGAUCCAGCCAUGCCGCGUGUGUGAAGAAGGUCUUCGGAUUGUAAAGCACUUUAAGUUGGGAGGAAGGGCAGUAAAUUAAUACUUUGCUGUUUUGACGUUACCGACAGAAUAAGCACCGGCUAACUCUGUGCCAGCAGCCGCGGUAAUACAGAGGGUGCAAGCGUUAAUC
RNAcentral lists this ribosomal RNA (428 nucleotides) under uncultured bacterium. RNAcentral's name for it is "bacterial SSU rRNA". It matches the Rfam family "Bacterial small subunit ribosomal RNA", at positions 123 to 546 of the family's 1533-position model. The record is from RNAcentral.